CCGAGUUUACAACUCCCAAACCCCUGUGAACAUACCUACACGUUGCCUCGGCGGAUCAGCCCGCGCCCCGUAAAAAGGGACGGCCCGCCCGAGGACCCCUAAACUCUGUUUUUAGUGGAACUUCUGAGUAAAACAAACAAAUAAAUCA
RNAcentral lists this unclassified non-coding RNA (148 nucleotides) under soil metagenome. RNAcentral describes it as "partial internal transcribed spacer 1". The record is from RNAcentral.